RNAcentral lists this long non-coding RNA (264 nucleotides) under Panax ginseng (ginseng). Its description in RNAcentral is "long non-coding RNA (PGIN_LNC006120)". Lineage: Eukaryota; Viridiplantae; Streptophyta; Magnoliopsida; Apiales; Araliaceae. The record is from RNAcentral.
UAGAUCAUAGGAGUCACAUUAUUUGGAUUGGAAGAGGUCAAAGUUACGGAAUUGGUCGGUAUGAAGUUUAUUUUGAGGUAAUUUGAUCAAUUGAUCAAUAAAAUACUGAUACACAGACGAAAUUGUAUGUAUAUCAAUAUUUUAUUAACCAAUUAACUAACUUAUCAAAAAAAUAAUUCCACACUAACCGAAUCCCAAAGUUACAUAAUGGAUGCUCAAACCUAUCAUAUUGCUCAAGAGCCUCUUUUGUUCUUAAUCAAUUAU